Molecule: non-coding RNA, 30 nt
Filed under: Mus musculus (house mouse)
Lineage: Eukaryota; Metazoa; Chordata; Mammalia; Rodentia; Muridae
Source: RNAcentral
AGGUCGCACAGCUAGUUAGCAGCAAGACCA